This 366-nucleotide ribosomal RNA is filed under the name Triticum aestivum (bread wheat). RNAcentral's name for it is "partial small subunit ribosomal RNA". The record is from RNAcentral. Lineage: Eukaryota; Viridiplantae; Streptophyta; Magnoliopsida; Poales; Poaceae.
AUGAAGCAUCUGCAUAAGUUUCUCCAUAAAGAAAAUCUUCCUUGGGUACAUCUUAUUUGGGAUUCUUACUAUCCUGAUGGAGUGAUCACUAAUAGGAAUGUUGGCUCAUUCUGGUGGAAAAGUAUCUUCAAACUGUUACCUAGUUUUAAAAUGGUAGCCAAAGGGCAGUUGGGCACAGGAAACACUAUUGAUUUUUGGAUGGACAACUGGGGACAUGGCACCACAAGACAUAAAUUCCCAGAGCUUUACUCCUUUGCCACCAAGGACACAGUGAGCAUUCAGGAGUUUUUACAUCAGCCAAACAUAAGUGACAAUUUCUUCCUCCCACUCUCAGCUCAAGCACAAAACCAGUUCAUAGAGCUCUAG